AGAAGUACUGCACAGUGACAGACCAUAUAAUGAGGUGAUUGUGGAUGAAGAGCUCAACUCAAUCCAAUAUAAUUUUUAGCUGGAGAAGCUGAAUUUCCCAAGUGCCCACAGCAGCCCAUAGACAUAGAAGUUGGAUUAGAGAUAAAAGUUGCAGAGAAUGAUUUGAUUAGAGAUAAGAGCUGCGAUAAGAGCUAGAGCUUUUCAUGUCGAAACAGCAGGCACCAACCUAAAGUUCAGUUCUGAAGAAGGUGGGAUCAGCUUGGUUUUUGGACUUGAUCCUUUUUUUUGGAGAACAAGUACAUGAAAGAUGUUAUCGGAAAGGCUCAACAGAAAUAUUCCAGCACUUGAAGGAAAAUUUGAUGACAUUGUAGCUAUUUUUGUUGUAUGGUUCAUGGAGACAAACAGCGAUAUGUCUCUUUUUGUUGAAUGUAAAUAGCAAAUGCGGCCUUUUUGUGUUAUGGCUUAUGUAAAUCAUUAAACUUGAAAUGCUAUGGUAGCCUUUUAUUUACCAU
Molecule: long non-coding RNA, 512 nt
Organism: Rhododendron vialii
Lineage: Eukaryota; Viridiplantae; Streptophyta; Magnoliopsida; Ericales; Ericaceae
Exons: 3
Source: RefSeq, a predicted model, not a curated record